Molecule: unclassified non-coding RNA, 336 nt
Filed under: soil metagenome
Description: partial contains 5.8S ribosomal RNA, internal transcribed spacer 2, and large subunit ribosomal RNA
Rfam family: 5.8S ribosomal RNA (bases 1-120)
Source: RNAcentral
GAUGAAGAACGCAGUGAAAUGCGAUAAGUAGUGUGAAUUGCAGAAUUCCGUGAAUCAUCGAAUCUUUGAACGCACAUUGCGCCCCCUGGUAUUCCGGGGGGCAUGCCUGUCCGAGCGUCAUUGCAACCUUCAAGCGCGGCUUGUGUGUUGGGUCUCGUCCCCCGUGGACGGGCCCGAAAGGCAGUGGCGGCGUCCCGACAUGGUGCCCGAGCGUAUGGGAAUCCUCUUCCGCUCGAAUCGGCCCAUGCGGCGCUGGUCGUAACCAAAUUUUUUACCGGUUGACCUCGGAUCAGGUAGGGAUACCCGCUGAACUUAAGCAUAUCAAUAAGCGGAGGA